GCCGCUUUAGCUCAGUCGGUAGAGCACUUCACUCGUAAUGAAGAUGUCAACGGUUCGAUUCCGUUAAGCGGCUCCA
Molecule: transfer RNA, 76 nt
Filed under: Nakamurella antarctica
Lineage: Bacteria; Bacillati; Actinomycetota; Actinomycetes; Nakamurellales; Nakamurellaceae
Description: Nakamurella sp. s14-144 tRNA-Thr
Rfam family: tRNA
About the family: Transfer RNA (tRNA) molecules are approximately 80 nucleotides in length.
Source: RNAcentral